GGGGAUGACGUCAAGUCCUCAUGGCCCUUAUGGUAGGGCUUCACACGUCAUACAAUGGUCGGUACAGAGGGUUGCCAAACCGCGAGGUGGAGCCAAUCCCUUAAAGCCGAUCGUAGUCCGGAUCGUAGUCUGCAACUCGACUACGUGAAGUCGGAAUCGCUAGUAAUCGCAGAUCAGCAUGCUGCGGUGAAUACGUUCCCGGGUCUU
This 207-nucleotide ribosomal RNA is filed under the name uncultured Thauera sp. RNAcentral describes it as "partial 16S ribosomal RNA". It matches the Rfam family "Bacterial small subunit ribosomal RNA", at positions 1175 to 1382 of the family's 1533-position model. Lineage: Bacteria; Pseudomonadati; Pseudomonadota; Betaproteobacteria; Rhodocyclales; Zoogloeaceae. The record is from RNAcentral.